This 68-nucleotide ribosomal RNA is filed under the name Symbiodinium sp. ex Porites densa. Its description in RNAcentral is "partial 28S ribosomal RNA". Lineage: Eukaryota; Dinophyceae; Suessiales; Symbiodiniaceae. The record is from RNAcentral.
UAGCAUGAAGUCAGACAAGUGAACCCGCUGAAUUUAACAUAUCAAAAAACGGGAAAGAAAACCUUGGU